AUUGAACGCUGGCGGCAUGCCUUACACAUGCAAGUCGAACGGCAGCACGGGAGCAAUCCUGGUGGCGAGUGGCGAACGGGUGAGUAAUAUAUCGGAACGUGCCCAGUCGUGGGGAUAACGUAGCGAAAGCUACGCUAAUACCGCAUACGAUCUAAGGAUGAAAGCGGGGGAUCGCAAGACCUCGCGCGAUUGGAGCGGCCGAUAUCAGAUUAGGUAGUUGGUGAGGUAAAGGCUCACCAAGCCGACGAUCUGUAGCUGGUCUGAGAGGACGACCAGCCACACUGGGACUGAGACACGGUCCAGACUCCUACGGGAGGCAGCAGUGGGGAAUAUUGGACAAUGGGCGAAAGCCUGAUCCAGCCAUGCCGCGUGUAGGAUGAAGGCC
This 385-nucleotide ribosomal RNA is filed under the name uncultured bacterium. RNAcentral's name for it is "bacterial SSU rRNA". It matches the Rfam family "Bacterial small subunit ribosomal RNA", at positions 30 to 416 of the family's 1533-position model. The record is from RNAcentral.